This 253-nucleotide ribosomal RNA is filed under the name uncultured bacterium. Its description in RNAcentral is "partial 16S ribosomal RNA". It matches the Rfam family "Bacterial small subunit ribosomal RNA", at positions 524 to 776 of the family's 1533-position model. The record is from RNAcentral.
AACGUAGGACGCAAGCGUUAUCCGGAGUUACUGGGCGUAAAGGGCGUGUAGGCGGCUGGGUAAGUCCGUCGUGAAAGCCCCCGGCUAAACUGGGGGAGGACGAGGGAGACUGCCGGGCUAGAGGCGGGUAGAGGGGUAUAGAAUUCCGGGUGUAGUGGUGAAAUGCGUAGAGAUCCGGAGGAAUACCAGAGGCGAAGGCGAUGCCCUGGGCCCGUACUGACGCUGAGACGCGACAGCAUGGGGAGCGAACGGG